UAAAAGACGUAGAACAGAAUAAGUAAUUUAGAUGACGCUGAUAGAGAAUCUUUGAUGGUGGAAAUAAGAUAGCAAUUUAAAUGAAAACACAUCUGUGAGUUGGUUUCUUGAAACUCAGUAGAGAGAUCCGGGAUUUAGCCCGUUACAGCUGAAGGUUUAUUAGUAAACUUAUUAAGGCAAUUAAUGUGAGUUAAUUGUGAAGAUGAGGUGGAACCGCGGAUUUCUUCGCCCUCUUA
This 236-nucleotide non-coding RNA is filed under the name Lactobacillus sp. RNAcentral's name for it is "T-box sequence". It matches the Rfam family "T-box leader". Rfam says of the family: Uncharged tRNA acts as the effector for transcription antitermination of genes in the T-box leader family. The record is from RNAcentral. Lineage: Bacteria; Bacillati; Bacillota; Bacilli; Lactobacillales; Lactobacillaceae.